RNAcentral lists this ribosomal RNA (599 nucleotides) under Mucor hachijyoensis. Its description in RNAcentral is "partial large subunit ribosomal RNA". It matches the Rfam family "Eukaryotic large subunit ribosomal RNA", at positions 103 to 613 of the family's 3401-position model. The record is from RNAcentral. Lineage: Eukaryota; Fungi; Mucoromycota; Mucoromycetes; Mucorales; Mucoraceae.
AAGAGCUCAAAGUUGGAACCUGUUUGGCUUAGCUAAACCGGAUUGUAAACUGUAGAAGCGUUUUCCAGGCGCACCAAGCAAAUAAGUCCUUUGGAACAGGGCAUCAUAGAGGGUGAGAAUCCCGUCUUUGGCUUGAGUUGUCGUCUAUUGUGAUACGUUUUCAAAGAGUCAGGUUGUUUGGGAAUGCAGCCUAAAUUGGGUGGUAAAUCUCACCUAAAGCUAAAUAUUUGCGAGAGACCGAUAGCGAACAAGUACCGUGAGGGAAAGAUGAAAAGAACUUUGAAAAGAGAGUUAAACAGUAUGUGAAAUUGUUAAAAGGGAACCGUUUGGUGCCAGACUGGCUUGAUUGUAAUCAACCUGGGCUUCGGCUCGGGUGCACUUGCAGUCUAUGCCUGCCAACAACAGUUUGGUUUGGAGGAAAAAAUUAUAAGGAAUGUGGCCCCUCGGGGUGUUAUAGCCUUAUUUCAUACUCUGGACUGGACUGAGGAUCGCAGUGAAUGCCUUUAGGCAAGAUUGCUGGGUGCUUUCGCUGAUAAAUGCUAGAAUUUCUGCUUCGGGUGGUGCUAGUGUUUAAAGGAGGAACUCGCUUGGUAUAUUUU